GACGAACGCUGGCGGCGUGCUUAACACAUGCAAGUCGAACGGAAAGGCCCUGCUUUUGCGUGGUUCUCGAGUGGCGAACGGGUGAGAAACACGGGAGUAUCCUGCCCUUGAGGGUGGGAUAACCUCAGGAGACUGGGGCUAAUACAGGAUAGGAGCUCCUGCUGCAUGGUGGGGGUUGGAAAGUAUGGUCUGUUGGGGAUGGACUUGCGGCUUAUCAGCUUGUGGGGGGGGUGGUGGCUUAGCAACGCAUUGACGGGUAGCCCACCAGAGAGGGUGGACGGCCACCUUGCGACUGCGAUACGGCGCAGACUCCAACGGGAGGCAGCAGUGGAGAAUAUUACACAGUGAGCGGGCGCCUGAUGCGACGACGCCGCGUGCGGGAUGCCGGCCUUCGGGUUGUAAACCGCAUUCGCCUGUGACGAAGCGUGAGUGACGGUACUGAGUAAAGAAGCACCGGCUAACUACGUG
This 468-nucleotide ribosomal RNA is filed under the name uncultured bacterium. RNAcentral's name for it is "partial 16S ribosomal RNA". It matches the Rfam family "Bacterial small subunit ribosomal RNA", at positions 28 to 507 of the family's 1533-position model. The record is from RNAcentral.